GCGGGUGUAGCUCAAUUGGUAGAGUACAAGCUUCCCAAGCUUGGGGUCGCGAGUUCAAACCUCGUCGCCCGCUCCA
This 76-nucleotide transfer RNA is filed under the name Desulfotalea psychrophila. RNAcentral's name for it is "tRNA-Gly". It matches the Rfam family "tRNA". Rfam says of the family: Transfer RNA (tRNA) molecules are approximately 80 nucleotides in length. Their secondary structure includes four short double-helical elements and three loops (D, anti-codon, and T loops). RNAcentral also lists the same sequence under 1 other name. Lineage: Bacteria; Pseudomonadati; Thermodesulfobacteriota; Desulfobulbia; Desulfobulbales; Desulfocapsaceae. The record is from RNAcentral.